ACGCUGGCGGCGUGCCUAACACAUGCAAGUCGAACGAGAUGCUUAUCGGAAAGCUUCGGCCGGAAGAUAAGUUAUCUAGUGGCGGACGGGUGAGUAACACGUGGGUAACCUGCCUUAUGGAGGGGGAUAACAGAGAGAAAUCACUGCUAAUACCGCAUAAGCACACAGUACCGCAUGGUACAGGGUGAAAAGAUUUAUCGCCAUAAGAUGGACCCGCGUCUGAUUAGCCAGUUGGCAGGGUAAAAGCCUACCAAAGCAACGAUCAGUAGCCGAUCUGAGAGGAUGACCGGCCACAUUGGGACUGAGACACGGCCCAAACUCCUACGGGAGGCAGCAGUGGGGAAUAUUGCACAAUGGGGGAAACCCUGAUGCAGCGACGCCGCGUGAGUGAAGAAGUAUUUCGGUAUGUAAAGCUCUAUCAGCAGGGAAGAUAAUGACAGUACCUGACUAAGAAGCCCCGGCUAACUACGUGCCAGCAGCCGCGGUAAUACGUAGGGGGCAAGCGUUAUCCGGAUUUACUGGGUGUAAAGGGAGCGUAGACGGAAUGGCAAGUCUGAAGUGAAAUACCCGGGCUCAACCUGGGAACUGCUUUGGAAACUGUUGUUCUAGAGUGUUGGAGAGGUAAGUGGAAUUCCUGGUGUAGCGGUGAAAUGCGUAGAUAUCAGGAAGAACACCGGAGGCGAAGGCGGCUUACUGGACAAUAACUGACGUUGAGGCUCGAAAGCGUGGGGAUCAAACAGGAUUAGAUACCCUGGUAGUCCACGCUGUAAACGAUGAAUACUAGGUGUCGGGGUACAAAGUAUCUCGGUGCCGUCGCUAACGCAAUAAGUAUUCCACCUGGGGAGUACGUUCGCAAGAAUGAAACUCAAAGGAAUUGACGGGGACCCGCACAAGCGGUGGAGCAUGUGGUUUAAUUCGAGCAACGC
Molecule: ribosomal RNA, 926 nt
Filed under: uncultured bacterium
Lineage: Bacteria
Description: bacterial SSU rRNA
Rfam family: Bacterial small subunit ribosomal RNA
Source: RNAcentral